AAACACGGACUCUUGUCUGUUACUUUAAGUAACUCAUAGUCUAGUCUGGGAAUUUCAUGUUCCUAGAAUGAUUAGAAACAAAGAUGUCUAAGGAAGGGGAGUGGGAAAAUGGCUCCUUAAAAGGCUUUUUGAGAAGGAUUCUGAAAUCACAUCAGAGCUGAGUGAGGACAAGUGCCCUAAUGAACUGCUGGUGUUUGCCAUGGCCAUGGAGAAGAGAGGGCAGAGGCACCUGAGCCGUUGCCUUAAUCUUCACCCUAACAGCCUGAGGACAAAGGAGCCAUUGAGGAAGUCCAUAAAG
Molecule: long non-coding RNA, 298 nt
Filed under: Equus asinus (donkey)
Lineage: Eukaryota; Metazoa; Chordata; Mammalia; Perissodactyla; Equidae
Description: lncRNA (ENSEASG00005031826.1)
Source: RNAcentral